UUAUAUAUAGUAUAAAAAUUUUAGCAUAUUUUUUGUUUUAUAAAAAAAAUUGUAAUAUGUAUAUAUAUAUAUAUAUAUAGAAUUAGACUGGAAUACUAUUAAUAGUAAAACCCUCUUUUUGCUAUCAAGUUUUAGUUCUUGGAUGAAAAAUUGUAGGUUUAGGAGGAUAUUAGUCAGUUUGAGUUGAGUGGUCCUCCUAGGGUUGAGUGGUCCCCACUGGAUUAUAGUAUUUAAUCAAAUGGUUGGAAAUAAUAAAAAGAGUUGAUCCAAAGGCUAAAAAAUUGGUAGCAAUAAUAGAAUUUUGCUACUAAUAG
RNAcentral lists this long non-coding RNA (314 nucleotides) under Ananas comosus (pineapple). Its description in RNAcentral is "long non-coding RNA (ACOM_LNC030139)". The record is from RNAcentral. Lineage: Eukaryota; Viridiplantae; Streptophyta; Magnoliopsida; Poales; Bromeliaceae.